Saccostrea cuccullata (small rock oyster) is the source of this 1811-nucleotide long non-coding RNA. RefSeq lists it as uncharacterized. The record is from RefSeq and is a predicted model, not a curated record. The transcript is spliced from 2 exons. Lineage: Eukaryota; Metazoa; Mollusca; Bivalvia; Ostreida; Ostreidae.
CUUUUCAUACAAUUCGGAGCACGGAGAACACCUCGUUUUAUCUAAUAAUACGAUUUUAUCUUCUCUGUAAUGUGUUAUUUAAAUCUUUUGUAUUUUCUUCCAAGUCGGAGAAAAUUCUGAGAAUCCAAAUUAAAUUUUGAUAUCUUUAUAACGCAAUUGACUUAGAUUUUGUAAUUUACGGAAAAUUUCUAUCUUUAUCAUGUUUAUAUAAAGUAAUGAUACAAAUAAUAAGUUCUUAUAAUUUUAGUCUAAUAAUUUUCAUUGUACAUACGCCAUAUAUGGCUUUAAAUGAUUCAAGAUGAAAACAAAAUGAUUUUUGCUUCGUUUUAAUUAGACGAACUAGUGAAUGACCAGAAAAGGAAUAUUUAAAAUCUUUUUUUUUUCAUUUUUUUUAAUCAUUAAUUUAUAUAUGAUUAAAUUUUACUAGCGAAAAUUAAAUUAAACUUUAAUUUUAAAAAGAAUCAUCUGUAGUUAAUACCCUGACUUUUUUCACGAUGAACUUUUUUUCAAUGUUACUUUUUAAUUUUUGCCUCUAUAUUUGGGCUUGUCACUUUUUACUCGGGGAUAGUAACUUUAUUGCCACAAAGCUGUGGAUUAGUACUUGAUUUCCUUUAUUGCACAGCGAUGACUAUGAUUUAAUAGCACAAAAAGCUAAUGGGUUUACGUUUGUGAAUUUAUAUGAUUAAUGCUUACUUGUGAUUUUAGGAUAACUGGAGAUAAUGAUUCCUUUUUUCCAUUGAUAUUACAUAAAUAUUUUCCUAAGUAUUAUGUUACAAUAAAUUGGUUUAGAUUUUUUUUUAUAAAAGUAAUCAAUAAUUACAAUGGAAAUUAAAACCAUAAUCAUGUUCAUUGAGGAUUUUCAAUAUGUAACAGGUCAAACAGGAACUUCAAUUGUGAACAUUGCAGAGAACACACUCAUCAGAAGAUGACCCUCAGAAAUAGGACAAUUAAUGAAUAAAAUGGACAGAGGCAGAACUGAAGGAGAUGCAUGAAAUGAGGAAUAUUUCAAAGAUUGCCUGAGCAUAACCACUGCUACUGGAUAAACAUAUGGCAAUAUAAAAGAGCAGGGUCAAUGGAGGUAUCAUACAGUAUAGGCCAUGAGAGACCCUGAAGAAGAAAGUAUUGAACAGAAACAAAAAUAAAACCAUUUUGACAUUUAUUGAAAUAUAGGAUCAAAGUCUUACAUGUAAAAUUUGGGCAUGUAAUGACUUUUCUCUAGCUCUAAGACUUAUAACAGUGAUGAUUUGAUUUAAUAUCUUUAUCCCGAUUUGUCGAAAAGAUUUGGACAUAGUGCAUCAAUUAUUUUAAAGUUUUGAUACAACGAAUUCAUUCAUUGUACUUGUAACUGAGUUUUCUAAUGCGACACUGUUUUAUCGGCUUCAAAACUAAGUUUGUGAUUUCCAAACCAGAUUAAUGAGAUCAUGUAAUAUCUUUUAACAUCGGUGACUAUUUAAUCCAUUCUUUUACAUCUCAGAAGUAUUUUUAUUAUUACAGGGAAAAUAUGCAUUGUACAUGUAUCUGUAAUAAACAGGAUUAUAGAAAUUUUCCAUAUAAUACAACACAAUCUUAGCAACUGAAGGCAAAUAUUUUAUCAAGGGUGUGAUCUAUUUAUCAAUAUGGUUUUCAGCAUCUUGCUCUACCUGUAAUGACUUGCUCCAAGUUCCAAUAUUUAAAUUUAAAUUUUGCAAACAUGGUUAUAAAAUUCUUUAAAAGCCAAAUAGUUUAGGCACAAAAUGCUUAUAUAUUUCCUAUCAUUUGUAAAGUGUACACUGAAUGAGAUGUGGAAUGUUAGAAUUAAAGUAUUAAAUAUG